Molecule: long non-coding RNA, 538 nt
Organism: Drosophila miranda
Lineage: Eukaryota; Metazoa; Arthropoda; Insecta; Diptera; Drosophilidae
Exons: 3
Source: RefSeq, a predicted model, not a curated record
UCAAGUAAUUGUUGUUGUUGUCUGGCUGGAAAUAUACUUUAUAGGCUCUGCACACUGAGCCCAUCCCGGGGGAAUGGUGGGAUUUUUUGACAGAUGUGAAACUCCGAUUCACACUGCCACCAUCCACCAUCCGUCAAAAACAGCUGAUGCCAAUAACAAGUUCAUUAAAUUUGCGCGGAAGAUUUAUUAAUUCUUGGUUCUUUUAAUGGAUGAUGAAGAUAUAGCAAUUAUUUCGGCUGUGGUUCAACAGCAAAAAGGGAUUCGAGGCAAUUGGGUUUCCUCAGUGCCUAGGUGCAAUUGAUGGAUGCCACAUCGAAAUAAAACCACCAGCACCUGAGGCAGUAGACCACCAUAAGGCUGAGGCUGGUAUUCCACAGUCUUGUUUGCCCUACUGGAUUAUAGGGUUUAAGUUACCAAGCUGUCCGUGAGUAGCGUGGGAUUAUUUGGCCGCCCGCCUUUUGAAGGUGGAAAUUGCCAAGUCAAAGAAUAGAAGAUGUUGGAGUACUGUUUAUAGCUUUACAUCAAUUUCGUCGAUGAA